This 426-nucleotide ribosomal RNA is filed under the name uncultured bacterium. Its description in RNAcentral is "bacterial SSU rRNA". It matches the Rfam family "Bacterial small subunit ribosomal RNA", at positions 354 to 796 of the family's 1533-position model. The record is from RNAcentral.
GCAAGGAAUAUUGCACAAUGGGGGAAACCCUGAUGCAGCAACGCCGCGUGGGCGACGAAGGCCUUCGGGUUGUAAAGCCCUUUUCUUAGGGAAGAGCAAGGACGGUACCUGAGGAAUAAGUCUCGGCUAACUACGUGCCAGCAGCCGCGGUAAAACGUAGGAGACGAGCGUUAUCCGGAUUUACUGGGCGUAAAGGGCAAGUAGGCGGUUAUCAAAGUUGGACGUGACAAAUCUCGGCUCAACUGAGAAGGGUCGUCCAAAACUAGGUAACUAGAGGGCAGGAGAGGGGAGCGGAAUUCCUAGUGUAGCGGUGGAAUGCUUAGAGAUUAGGAAGAACACCAGUGGCGAAGGCGGCUCUCUGGCCUGCACCUGACGCUGAGAGGCGAAAGCUAGGGGAGCAAACGGGCUUAGAUACCCCAGUAGUCC